This 369-nucleotide ribosomal RNA is filed under the name uncultured bacterium. RNAcentral's name for it is "bacterial SSU rRNA". It matches the Rfam family "Bacterial small subunit ribosomal RNA", at positions 527 to 898 of the family's 1533-position model. The record is from RNAcentral.
GGAGGGUGCAAGCGUUAUCCGGAUUCACUGGGUUUAAAGGGUGCGUAGGUGGGUUGGUAAGUCAGUGGUGAAAUCUCCGGGCUUAACUCGGAAACUGCCGUUGAUACUAUCAAUCUUGAAUAUCGCGUAGGUAAGCGGAAUAUGUCAUGUAGCGGUGAAAUGCUUAGAUAUGACAUAGAACACCAAUUGCGAAGGCAGCUUACUUCACGAUCAUUGACACUGAGGCACGAAAGCGUGGGGAGCAAACAGGAUUAGAUACCCUGGUAGUCCACGCCCUAAACGAUGGAUACUCGACAUUAGCGAUACACAGUUAGUGUCUGAGCGAAAGCAUUAAGUAUCCCACCUGGGAAGUACGACCGCAAGGUUGAA